Prunus avium (sweet cherry) is the source of this 1022-nucleotide non-coding RNA. NCBI's taxonomy places the organism in Eukaryota, Viridiplantae, Streptophyta, Magnoliopsida, Rosales, Rosaceae. The record is from RefSeq and is a predicted model, not a curated record.
AUGAGGUUUUGCUCCGAAGUUCACAUUGGCCAUGCGGGUCAUGAAAUCCGAACUUGCACUGGCCCAAAUAGUGGUUUUCGGAGUGCUUCACAUGUUUGGAAGAAGGGAGGAGUUCAAGAUGUGGUUUCCUUUCCUAAAUGCUUCCAUCUUUAUGAUCGUGUUGGAAAACCAAGAGUUGGGCAUGACGAGAGGUAUCGAAUCCCACAGAUCCCUGCCAUUUUGGAGCUCUGUAUACAGGCUGGUCUAGAGAUUGACGAGUACCCAACAAAGAGAAGAAUGAGACCUGUAUAUUGUAUUGAAGGAAGAAUUGUGGACUUUGAGAUGGUUAACAAAAUGGAUGAAAUGGAUAGAAACUCAUAUCCUGGGAUUGUUGAUACCCUAGUAGAUCCUGAUGUAGGAACUAAUAUGGAAGAAUUGAGAAAUUCAGCUUCACUGAGUCAUACUAACUGUGUAGAUAAAUCGAGUGAUAAAGUGGGGAAAUCUUUGACCGAGUUGAGUAGUACUACAAUGGGCUCAUGGUUUGAGAUGAUAUCCGGAGCAAAGAAUAUCAUGGAGAAAUACAGUGUGAAGACUUGUGGAUAUUGUUUAGAGGUCCAGGUGGGUCCCAAGGGGCACAAAGUGAGGAUGUGCAAGGCAUCAAAGCAUCAAUCUCGUAAUGGUUUGCAUGCAUGGCAAGAAGCAACAAUAGAAGAUCUUGUAGGUCUGAACUAUGUUUGGCAUGUCCGAGACGUAAAUUGUCCUGCUCUGGAUAACAACCUAAAGAGGUAUUAGGCAAGGCUCCAGCUGUGGUGGAGCUAUGUGUGCAGGCAGGUGCACCUGUUCCGGAUGAAUAUAGGAGUAUGAUGAGAUUAGAUGUGGCUUCUCCUGAACGUGAUGAGGUUGAUCUUGUUGCUUGAUAUAAAGUUCCUGUAUGCAGAUGGAUGUGAUAUACUAAAGAGAUGUUAAAAGGGGUUCUGCUGCUCUUCCAUAUUGUGUCUGAAAGCUGCGAGUAAGUAAAGGGGAGGAAAGCUUAUUCGAAGACA